Molecule: ribosomal RNA, 497 nt
Filed under: uncultured bacterium
Lineage: Bacteria
Description: partial 16S ribosomal RNA
Rfam family: Bacterial small subunit ribosomal RNA
Source: RNAcentral
GAUGAACGCUGGCGGCGUGCCUAAUACAUGCAAGUCGAGCGAACGGACGAGAAGCUUGCUUCUCUGAUGUUAGCGGCGGACGGGUGAGUAACACGUGGAUAACCUACCUAUAAGACUGGGAUAACUUCGGGAAACCGGAGCUAAUACCGGAUAAUAUUUUGAACCGCAUGGUUCAAAAGUGAAAGACGGUCUUGCUGUCACUUAUAGAUGGAUCCGCGCUGCAUUAGCUAGUUGGUAAGGUAACGGCUUACCAAGGCAACGAUGCAUAGCCGACCGGAGAGGGUGCUGGGCCACACGGGAACUGAGACAGGGUCCAGCCUCCACGGGGAGGACGAAGAAGGGAAUCUUCGGCAAGGGGGGAAAGCCGGACGGACAAGCCCCGGGUGAGUGAUGAAGGUUUGCGGAUUGAAAAACUUUUUUAUUGGGAAAAAACAUAUGUGAAAUUACCUGUGCACAUCUUGACGGUACUUAAUAAGAAACCCCGGGCUAACUACGUC